CGGAGGAGUUGAAUCACAAGUAACCUUAAACCUGCCACUAGACAAAAUAAGCUCAAGAAUAGCAAUAUAUACUACAUUGGUCAAUCCCAUAUCCAAAUAUGUUUUGAUGACAACACCAAUUACCAAUGCUUUGAAAGAUUUGCUUCCAAGGGGAUACAAUAGCAAAGUCACAGACAUCAUAGUUAGCGCUAUCUUGGUCAUGAGCACUGUCAUUGUUGCCCUAGCUGUUCCUUUCUUUGGGUAUCUCAUGUCACUAGUUGGAGCACUUCUAAGUGUCACAGCUUCUAUUCUACUUCCAUGCUUGUGCUACUUAAAGAUUUCAUGCAAUUACAACAAAUUUAGGUUUGAGACAAUAACCAUAGUGGUAAUACUAUUAUCAGGUAUAGCAAUAGGAAUGUCUGGGACAUACAUGUCACUCAAUAAAAUAGUUCAUCAUAUGUCAUAGAGAUGUAAUCAAAUACAGGAUGAUUAGCUAUACAUAGCUGUCAAUUAGCUAGGAAUUAGCGACGAUACUUUUGCUCGCUAACUUACUAGCAUUGACAACUUCCAUAGAUAAUUUGCGGUGUAUCGGUUUUGCUUUGUAAUAGGUAUGGAAAAUUUUCCUCCACCACCCAAAUUUACCUCCACCUUACCUUAUGGAGAUAUGAGAAUAAAAGGGAGGGUGACAGAGAUACAUAUGAUGACUAGUAAGUAUGAACAAAAAAUAAAAUAAAAAAGUUGGCGGAAAUGAAAAAUUACCUUUGAUAUUUCUAAAUUGAAAAGUGCUAAUUUAUGUGCUAGAAAUAUUAUAAUAAAAUAAUAUUAAACUUCAAGUUACUAUAAUCUGAAAAUAUUAUUCAGUUUUUUUUUAAACGAAUCGUAGAAGUGGAAACUCAAUUGUUUAUUAUCUGGUCAAGACGCAUCCACUUUCUCUAAUGUAGUUUGGGUGGAGGAGAUUCCUUCUGAGGCUUUAUCUUUUGUAAACUCUGAUGCAUUGUUUUUUAUGCAUGUUUCUUCAUAAUAUAUUCAAGGUUGAUUUCAAAAAAAAAAUAACGACACUUAAUUUUAUCAAUUUCUUUAAUGUCAAGGACGGAACGAGAAAAGUUGGGUAAAAGGGCGAAAAUUUAGUAUAUAAAGCAAAAUUAACCGUCACUAAGUGAAAUAGACAGUAUGAUUUUUUCUUUAGUGAAUAUCCAAUUGGGUCCCGAACUUGUGCGCUUAUAGUAGGUUGGUCCUCCAACUUAGAAAAUAGCUUCAUAAGCCCCUUAACUUGCAAAACGCUUUUACAUUGGUCCUGUUUCAUUUCAGCCAUUAGUCCUUGAGACGGAAAAGAUCACGUGUCACAUUAUGUGCCAUGUGGGUUUCAAUCUGGUCCCUGACAUUCUCAACUUAAUCUCAAUUUAGUUGUCGCGUUGAAAAAUGAAAUUUCUCUCCCUUCACCACCCCUUUUUUCUCCACAACCACUACCCUUCUUCCACCCUCAGACUUCACCCUUUCACUCUCCACCACCACCACCACCCUUCUCUCACCCCUCUUUUCCUUCACCCAUUCUCACUAGCCCCACUCUUCUCUCCCUUGUGUUCAUUUCAUUCUUCAACGCACAAACUAAAUUGGCUUUAAGUUCAAAAUGUUAGGGACCAAAUUGAAACCCAUGUGACACAGGACGCGAUACGUGAGCUUUUCCAUCCAUGGACUAACGGUAGAAAAGUAAAAGGACCAACGUGAAAGUGCUUUGCAAGUUGAGGGACUUCUGAAGAUAUUUUCUAAGUUACGUUGGAGGGCCAACCAGCCAUAGGUUUACAAGUUAAAGGACCAAAUUAGGCAUUCACACACAGAAAAAUUUAGAGGGCGAAAAUAAUAUUCUAUUGAAAUAUUUUUCACUUAAAGGGUGACCGCCCCAGUUUAGUACAUGUAGGUCCGUCCCUGAAUAGUGCAACACUUUUUUCUUAACAUAAGUUUAAAUGGAGCCCUUCUAACCUACAAUAACAAAUAACCUCGAAUAUGUGAGUGAGGUUCUCGGCCCAACUAGUAUCUAACCUACCAAUUUUUGCUGAUUCUUUUCUUCUUUGAUAACAUGAACCUGGACCGUAAAAAAAAAACAUUAACCUGACUUGUUAAAAAAAGGCUAAAUAGCUCUUUUGGUCCCUCACUUAUCACGAUUUUUCACUUUUGGUCCCCAAUAAAAAAAAUUAGCACUUUUGGUCCUCUACAAACUACAUUGCUUAAUUUUUUGCAAAAAUGAUCCCUACUUGGAACUAAACGGAAAAAGUGUGUAAAGAUAAGUGAGGGACAAAAAGAGCUAUUAAGCAAAAAAAAAAAACAUUAACCUGACUUAACAUUUAAAACCUUUAAAACAAAGAUCGCUCCUCAAACUAGAAACUGGGCCGAUGUCCAUGUAUGUCCUUGACCCACAUACAAUUUUAAGCAAACGUAAGAGUCUAAUUCAAUCAUAAUUUUUUUUAUAGAUUUAUACCUAAUUCUUUUCCAUUUCAUUUUCAUUCUCUCUCUCUCUCCCUCCCUCCUUAACCGGGGACGAGCCCCGACUUCCAAAGGUCCUUUCCUUGGUUCCCACCCUCCCAUAUCAAUAGGUGGAGGUGAAAUUAAAAUGUCAAUUAAAUUAUUUUCCAUUACGAAAUUAGCACAUUUCUAGAAACCCUACGAGAGAGUAGUGUCUUCAGAGAGAUCAAGAGAGAGAGAGAAACGAGGUGUCAGAGCUCGCAACGCGGUGGUUGCGUGUGAAGCUUUCGGCCACCAAAGAUGAGAUAAGUGAAGGUUUGGGAAGCGGUUCAUAGCAGGGGAGACACCAAGGAUGGUAGUCGAGGUAUGGCGCGACUCAUGAGGGUUUGUUAUGGUUUGAAAGGAGAUGAAAGGGGCUUGGGAGGCCGAAGAACUUUUAAUUAUGACAAAUAUUAGCAGCCAUUAUAAACCGCCACAAAAUUGUGUGUCGAUUUAUGGCCAACUAAAACCAUAUGUUUACUAAUCAUUUGUGUUCGCUGUGGUGGCGAGCGGUUGUUGGAACCAAGAAAGUGAUUAUAUUGGUUUUGUAAUCCUACCAUAUUACUCCCUCCGUCCCCAUUUAUAAGUCACAUUUUGAGAGUUUUUUUAGUCUCAAAAUAUAAGUCACUUUAGAGUACCAAUGAAACAUUUCUUACAUUUUUCCAAAUUUACCCUCAUAUUUAAUAUGAAAGAGAUGGUGUGGUUUUGAAAAUUUCUUUAAUUGGAGAGAGAAAUUGAUGGAUAAUUUUGGAAAGUUAAUAAAGCUUUUUACAAAUUUAUUGCUAAUAACAACUUUUCUUAAUCCUAGAAAAUUAGGUAAAAGUGACUUAUAAUAGGGGACAGAUUAGAGGGAGUAAAUUUUAGCUCAUAAAUCAUAAAUUCCACCACCACAUGAGCGAGGACUAAUUAAGAGUUGAUCUAUCUUGACUAAUCUAAUGUCCGGAUCCAAGUCUAAGAAUGUAGCUAAAUUAAUUAAGCUCACAAAGAAAAACUUUGCUAAUAUAGUGUUUCUAGCAAACUAGAGCCGAACUUUGACUUGAAUCGGGACCAUCAAUUUGCUUGCCAAAUGAAUACGUCUUGUACUUAAUUAGAUGAAGUAAUAACCAAAUACAAAAACACACUCCUUCUCUACCAAUUUCAGGUAUAACGGUUCUUGCAAUGAUUUGCCACAUAUUUCUUAAUGGAUUUAAAUUUAAUGAUUUGCCAAAUAUGUAAUGCCAUGUCUUUGUUGCUGAUUAUUGUUUCAUGCAAGUAAAUAUACAGUUGGUGAUGUUGUCUAGUCUUUUUUGCAUAUAUCCCAUGCUUUUUGGUAACGAUCACACACACUCUCAGAGUUGAACAUUUAGAUAUUUUGGCCAGCUGAUACUUAGAUUGCGACCCACCACCUAUUAUAUAUACGUAUACUAAACCUUAUAAAUUUGCAAACCACGAGAUAAUCCAAGUUUUCUCAUCAGAUUUUGUCCCAAUGGAAGAAAAACAUGGCAACUAUUCCUAUGAGCUACGUUGUGCCACAGAUGCGGAGAAAACUAUUGUCACUUCCCCUCCUACCACAAAUUGUAACGUGUCUUUCUUUCGCACGUGUUUUAACGGACUCAAUGCAAUAUCAGGUUUUCCUAUAUCCACAACACACCCCAUUUUUUAGUUAUAUGAAUUUCUUUUUUUUCUUCAAUAAAAUCAUCUGGAUGUUUGAGGACACUUGUUGGACUUAGAAGUAUGGACCCAAAUUGAUUCUCUAGGUUCAAGAGAGUAUAUUAGGCUUAGUUGUGAAUCUAGUGUGGUCUAAAAAUGGCUUGAGACACUUGUUGACUUAUAUACAUUCACUUGUAUAUUAUAAAUUGAUUUUAGUUGUAGACCCACGAAUGAGGGACUUUCUAGUUUUCUUGUUCUACAUGAGUCUGCACUCAGGUCGAACCUCAGCUGAGCUCAGGUGACAAAUUUUUUUUCUUUUAUGUUUUGUCAUUGGGCCCAUUCCUUCUUUUUUGUAACCUUAUUUUUCUCUUUUUUUGAUAUAUAGAUUUUUCGUGAGUCCACUUGUUGGACUUGGAAGCGUAGACCCAAAUUAGUUCUCAAGGUCGAAAAGAGUGUACUAAACUUAGUUGUGUUUCAAAAAAAGAACUUAGUUCUGGGUGUGGUGUGAUGCAGAAAUGCCUUAACAUGUUUAAGAAGCUCCUACAUAUUCACUAAUACAAUAUGAUUUUAGUUGUAAACCCACCAAUUUGGGGCAUUCUAAUUUUUAACAAGCACAUUAAUAUCGGUAGAUGUUCCUCUUGAAAUAUCAAAUUUUAUCCUGGGUUAGGCAACCUAACUCUAAAGCUAGCUCAGAGUUAAUUAUGUCUAACUCGAAUUCUAAAAUUGUAUUAGAUCUUAUCCAAGAUUCAUUUAUUUGGUCAUUCAUAAAUAAAUUCCCUCAUAGAUUUCCAAUUCUGAAACAACACAGUCUUGAUUUACCAAAUUCUGAAUGUGAGUGUGUUAAGAUUACAUAUUGACUACACAAAUAUGAUAGUAUAAGUCCUUAUAAAUGGUAGAACAUUUUUUUUUCCUUGCACUAGCUUUCCAAAUAGAGCUAGUACUAACAUGAGUUCUAAAACUUUAUGUGUGACAAUAUAAUGCAUGUAUCAUUCUGAUUUCGCCAUGUCUUAUUUAAUGUUUGGCUUAAAUACUCUGUAGGUCCCUGAAAUUGUACCCCGUAUCAAAAUAAGUCCCUAAAAAAACAAUUCCAGGGAUCCGGAAUCGGAAAAAAAAUUUUCAGGGACUUAUUUUGAUACGGGGUACAAUUUCAGGGACCCCUAGAGUAUUUAAGCCUUAAUGUUUUUCCUUAACAUUUGGUGUCAUCCCAACCUCAAGAUGUUGUUGGAAUAGAGUCAUAUAAGAUGCUAAUGUCUUGUGUGGCUUUGGUUUCCAGGUGUUGGGAUACUUUCGAUUCCAUUUGCUCUAGCAUCCGGAGGGUGGUUAAGCUUAAUUCUUCUAUUUGUUAUUGCUGUUGUAACCUUUUACACAGGCUUGUUGAUAAAGAAUUGUAUGGACAAGAAUGCGAAUAUUAGAACCUAUGCUGAUAUAGGUGAGCUUGCAUUUGGAAAGAUAGGAAGACUAACAGUAACAAUAUCCAUAUACACCGAGCUCUUCUUGGUUUCAACAGGCUUCUUGAUUCUUGAAGGAGAUAAUUUGAGUAACUUAUUCCAUAUUGGGGAGAUUCAAGUGGCUGGAUUAGCAAUUGGUCGAAAACAUUUCUUUGUAGUACUGGUUGCUCUUGUUAUCUUGCCUACAGUUUUCAUGAACAACUUGGGUCUACUUUCUUACAUAUCUGCAAGUGGUGUGUUUGGGACUGGUAUCAUCAUCUUAUCAAUAUUAUGGACUGCAACAUUUGAUGGAAUUGGUUUUCAUCAAAAGGGAACUCUUGUUCAUUGGAAUGGAAUCCCAACAGCUAUUAGCUUGUACACCUUCUGUUUUGGUGCACAUUCACUCUUCCCUACUCUAUAUAAUUCCAUGAGAAACAAACAUCAGUUUUCUAGUGUAAGUGCUUUCCCUUUUGGGUGUGUUUGCUUCUGAUUAAUCUCUUUCUCAACAAAUUUUGUUUUCUUAAUGUUUCAGGUCUUACUUGUAUGCUUUAUUCUAGCCACCAUUGGUUAUGCAUCCAUGGCUAUAAUUGGUUACCUAAUGUUUGGUGGAGAAGUUGAAUCACAAGUAACCUUAAACCUACCACUAGACAAAAUAAGCUCAAGAAUAGCAA
RNAcentral lists this long non-coding RNA (6202 nucleotides) under Lotus japonicus. RNAcentral describes it as "long non-coding RNA (LJAP_LNC001154)". Lineage: Eukaryota; Viridiplantae; Streptophyta; Magnoliopsida; Fabales; Fabaceae. The record is from RNAcentral.